GGAUUGUAGCUCAGCGAUAGAGCGGUUGCCUAGCAAGUAUGAGGCACUGGGUUCGAUUCUCAGCACCA
This 68-nucleotide transfer RNA is filed under the name Marmota monax (woodchuck). RNAcentral's name for it is "tRNA.Ala". The stretch from base 5 to 65 matches the Rfam family "tRNA", at positions 6 to 65 of the family's 71-position model. Rfam says of the family: Transfer RNA (tRNA) molecules are approximately 80 nucleotides in length. Their secondary structure includes four short double-helical elements and three loops (D, anti-codon, and T loops). Further hydrogen bonds mediate the characteristic L-shaped molecular structure. tRNAs have two regions of fundamental functional importance: the anti-codon, which is responsible for specific mRNA codon recognition, and the 3' end, to which the tRNAs corresponding amino acid is attached (by aminoacyl-tRNA synthetases). tRNAs cope with the degeneracy of the genetic code in two manners: having more than one tRNA (with a specific anti-codon) for a particular amino acid; and 'wobble' base-pairing, i.e. permitting non-standard base-pairing at the 3rd anti-codon position. The record is from RNAcentral. Lineage: Eukaryota; Metazoa; Chordata; Mammalia; Rodentia; Sciuridae.